RNAcentral lists this ribosomal RNA (252 nucleotides) under Triticum aestivum (bread wheat). RNAcentral's name for it is "partial small subunit ribosomal RNA". Lineage: Eukaryota; Viridiplantae; Streptophyta; Magnoliopsida; Poales; Poaceae. The record is from RNAcentral.
AUGCCAGUGUCCGGUGAAGAGGAGGUUAACGGGGCCCACCAGAGAGGAAUCUCAGUAACAAACCACUCUUCUGAAAAAGAGGCCGGCAGGCUGCAAUGCAGCUCUGGUUGUACAAGUGUCCCUUUCACCCUCCCAAUCCACACGGAACCAACCGCUUUCUCCUACCCAAUAUCACCUUUGCCCCUUUUAUACAACCCAACCUCACUCUCCUCCCCUCUCCUCUCCUCUCCUCAGUUCAUCUCUACGGAGUAG